UCCAGCAUCUUGUUCCUGAAGCUGAACCAAACACUCAGACUCACUCUAUCAAUUCUCAUCACCAUGAAGAUGAUGUUGACCAUCUCUCUGCUCCUCAGUGUUGGCUUUGCACUAGCUGAUGCAAUGUCUGUUCCGGAAUUGAGAAACGACCUGAACAGACCAGGUUGGAAGGUCAUCAAGAACUGUGUGAAAGUGACAACGACCAUGGUGGAGGAGUUUGACAACAUGCCGCCGCAGAAGAAGGAGACGGUUCAGAUCUUCGGGGGACCAGAGUGUGAGAACGACAACGAGAGAAGCAAAAGAGGAUUUGUUCGCCUCGGCCGACAACUCUCCAAUUACUGAAGCCUUGAGUAGCGUCACCUGGGGAAGACUGGCCUGUCCUCCCCAGUUGACAUACGUGGCCCUUGACUGUGGGUAUCCGGUGACAGUGGAGGAUCCAGUACAGUGACGACGACGUGGGAUAAUCAUGAAUUAGAACGUUCAAUUAAAUGCAUUGGAUUCACUCCAACUACUGUCUGUAUCUGAAAAGUGACACCCUAUGUUUUGCAGAUUUCUGCAGUUUUGCAGACUCUGGCCAUACUGUAAUGUAUAUGAAUACAGUAUUGAAAAGUAACCUUGAAUAAUCAUAAUGUAUGUUAACGCUCACAUUUAUCAUGUUACGUUGGAUAUGUCUGUUAUGGAAUAUUUCUAAUAUGGAAUACUUCUAAUA
This is a long non-coding RNA of Salvelinus fontinalis (brook trout), 709 nucleotides long. RefSeq lists it as uncharacterized. The record is from RefSeq and is a predicted model, not a curated record. The transcript is spliced from 2 exons. Lineage: Eukaryota; Metazoa; Chordata; Actinopteri; Salmoniformes; Salmonidae.